Molecule: long non-coding RNA, 187 nt
Filed under: Propithecus coquereli (Coquerel's sifaka)
Lineage: Eukaryota; Metazoa; Chordata; Mammalia; Primates; Indriidae
Description: DAOA antisense RNA 1 conserved region 2 (ENSPCOG00000001836.1)
Rfam family: DAOA antisense RNA 1 conserved region 2
Source: RNAcentral
UUGAGAAACAGUAGACAGCUACAAAAUUUUGUCUCGGGGCAAAAUUCCUCCCCCCCUUCUUUUUUGUUUGUCACAUACACUUCCUUUUAAGCUAAGCUUCUCAAGAUUUUACCAAAUUACUUUGCCUCUAAGACCCUGGAAAAGUUGAGACCUUUCACAAAGGUAUUCAUCUUGGAAGUUCACAAAC